GCUUACGGCCAUACCAACCUGGCUAUGCCCGAUCUCGUCUGAUCUCGGAAGCUAAGCAGGUUUGGGCCUGGUUAGUACUUGGAUGGGAGACGCCUGGGAAUACCAGGUGCUUUAAGCU
Molecule: ribosomal RNA, 118 nt
Filed under: Carassius auratus (goldfish)
Lineage: Eukaryota; Metazoa; Chordata; Actinopteri; Cypriniformes; Cyprinidae
Source: RNAcentral